UGGUGAACUAUGCUUGAGCAGAAUGAAGCCAGAGGAAACUCUGGUGGAAGUUCGUAGCGGUGUUGACGUGCAAAUCACUCGUCUGACUUGAGUGUAGGGGCGAAAGACUAAUCGAACCAUCUAGUUGCUGGUUCCUUCCGAAGUUUCCCUCAGGAUAGCUGGCAUUUGUGUGUAACAAUUUUAUCCGGUAGAGCGAAUGAUUAGAGGUGUUGGGAACGCAAUGUUCUCAGCCUAUUCUCAAACUUCGAAUGGGUAAGCAAGGCGAUUUGCUUUGAUCUUUUUAUGAAAUCGCCCCUCCAAUUUGUUGAAGAAUGUAUAAAUGCCUAGUGGGCCAAUUUUGGUAAGCAGAACUGGCGAUGUGGAAUGAACCAAAAGUCAGGUUAAGGUGCCAGACAUUGGCGCUCAUGAAAUACCAGAAAAGGUGUUGGUCGAUAUAGACAGCAGGACGGUGGCCAUGGAAGUCGGAAUCCGCCAAGGAGUGUGUAACAACUCACCUGCCGAAUCGACUAGCCCUGAAAAUGGAUAGCGUUUGAGCGCCAGGCCCAUACCUGACCGUCUCAGCUACGCACUUUUGCUGGUUUCUCCGGUGAAGGUGUAAUGAACGUUGAGACGGGUAGGAAGGUCGCGACAGUGUUGCUUUGAAGAGUUUUGAGCGUGAGCUCGCUCGGAGCCGCUGUUGGUGCAGAUCUUGGUGGUAGUAGCAAAUAUUCAAGUGAGAACCUUGAAGGCUGAAGUGGAGCAAGGUUCCAUGUGAACAGCAGUUGGACAUGGGUCAGUCGAUCCUAAGAAAACGGCGAAAGCUUGUUCGAAUUUACGACAUAAAAUUUAAAACUGUGUAUGCAAAAGAAAGUAGUGUAGUGUUGGUAGCAGCAGCAGCAGUUGUGGUAGUGGUGGUGGUGGUGGUGGUGGUGGUGUGCCGCCGCCGCCGCCGCCGAAACUACUUUUUGCUGCUGUUGCGUUGCUACAAUCUUGGUGUUUUUGUUCUGUGCAGUUGUCGUAUGUUUUCGAAAGGGAAUCCGGUUGAUAUUCCGGAACCGAGUAACGGAGACAAAGAGUAGCGCUUUAAUCUCUUUCGGGUUGGCGUUCAACUCAAUCGCGCGGUAACGCAAGCGAACUCGGAAAAUGACCGUCGUGAGUUUCGAAAAGAGUUUUCUUUUCUUUUUAAGGGACGCAUUCCCUGGAACCGGGUUGUCCGGAGAUAGGGAUUCUGGUAUCCAUAAAACGCCGACUCUUUCACGGUGUUCGGAGCGCUCUCGUCGGUACGUGAAAAUCCGAGCGACGCCUGGUAAAUCUCGUACUUGGUCGUACUGAUAUCCGCAGCAGGUCUCCAAGGUGAAUAGCCUCUGGCCGAUAGAAUAAUGUAGGUAAGGGAAGUCGGCAAAACGGAUCCGUAACUUCGGAACAAGGAUUGGCUCUAAGGGCUGGGCCGAUCGGGCUGAGGUUUCAAGCGUGCAGUGUAUGCUUGGCUGAGUUGUGUUGAGGAUUGAUUCGCUUGGUGCCGUUUGUUGAACCAAUCGGCUAUCCAGGUGGUCAUGUCUGAAGCAAAGCUGGCCGACAGACCGGCACGUGCAGAACCUGAGCUGCGCGGCUGUCAGUUCAUUUGUACAGACCGUUUCGGUCGGCAUUCAACAGCCAACUUAGAACUGGCACGGACACAAGGAAUCUGACUGUAUAAUUAAAACAAAGCAUUGCGAUGGCCGAUGAUCGGUGUUGACGCAAUGUGAUUUCUGCCCAGUGCUCUGUUGGGAAGCCGCGGUUGUUGGCUGAAGACCAACGACAAAACGUUGUCAACAAUCGGGAUCAAAGUCACACGCAGGAUGAAAGAACGCCUUAGCUGGUUGACAUUUGAACAUUCAAUCAGAAUUUACAACACCAUGAGAAACUGAUUGCUCAGUAUGUUCCGUUCAGUUACUGUCUACUUAUCACUGUUAAACAUGUUAACUAUUACUGUUGAUUUAUUGUUACCACGUUCGUUGUUUUCUAAGCACUCUGUUACCAUCGCUUUUACAUUUCAUUAUUACGGUAUUAUUAUUCCUUCUGCCUGCAAUUUCCAUCGUUGUUGCUUUUUUCUUGUUUUUAUUGCUUCGUUGUGCUUGUUUGUUUGUUUGUUAUUGUUCUUGUUUGGCCUAGGAUAUCGAUAAUCACACGCACCGCGGAACUGGACCGUAUAAGCCAGAAAUAUUAAAGUAACAAUAGCCAAAUGCCUAGUCAUUUAAUUAGUGACGCGUAUGAAUGGAUCAACAAGAUUCCUUCUGUCCCUAUCUACUAUCUAGCGAAACCACAGCCAAGGGAACGGGCUUGGCAAAAUCAGCGGGGAAAGAAGACCCUGUUGAGCUUGACUCUAGUCUGACUCUGUGAAGAGACAUGAAAGGUGUAGCAUAGGUGGGAGGCUGCAGUAGGGCGCUGUUUGGUGUCUCUGUGGUCGCCAAUGAAAUACCACUACUUUGAUCGUUUCUUUACUUAUUCGGUAAAGCGAAAAAAUUGUGGCCAAUUUGGCGGUCUGUCCGCUGUUGGUCAUUGUUUUAAUGUUGGAUUGAAGCUUUGUUUAUAGCCGUCGCUUUGCGUCGCCGUUUGAUGCAUUGGCUGGGUGCGUUUUUGCGCGCGCGCGGUAAUGUUGUCAGCGGAUGAUCGGCGAUUGGUUUGAAGUGAUUCGCUCCGGAAACAGUGUCAGACGGGGAGUUUGACUGGGGCGGUACAUCUGUUAAACGAUAACGCAGGUGUCCUAAGGUAAGCUCAGCGAGGACAGAAACCUCGCCUAGAGUAAACGGGCACAAGCUUACUUGAUUUUGAUUUCCAGUACGAAUAAAAACCGCGAAAGCGUGGCCUAUCGAUCCUUUUGAUUGUGUAGAUUUCAUGCAAGAGGUGUCAGAAAAGUUACCACAGGGAUAACUGGCUUGUGGCAGCCAAGCGUCCAUAGCGACGUUGCUUUUUGAUCCUUCGAUGUCGGCUCUUCCUAUCAUUGCGAAGCAGAAUUCGCCAAGCGUUGGAUUGUUCAUUAGACCGUCGUGAGACAGGUUAGUUUUACCCUACUGAUGACAAGUCGUUGCGAUAGUAAUCCUGCUCAGUACGAGAGGAACCGCGGGAUCAGACAUUUGGUUCAUGCGCUCGGCUGAAAGGCCGGUGGCGCGAAGCUAGCAUCUGCAAGAUUAUGACUGAACGCCUCUAAGUCAGAAUCUUUUCUAGUCAUUGGCAACGAUAAGUUGCGUCCGGACUCGAUGCGAGGAAACGAUUAGGCUUUGCUGUGUUUU
Molecule: ribosomal RNA, 3248 nt
Filed under: Trichinella zimbabwensis
Lineage: Eukaryota; Metazoa; Nematoda; Enoplea; Trichinellida; Trichinellidae
Description: eukaryotic LSU rRNA
Rfam family: Eukaryotic large subunit ribosomal RNA
Source: RNAcentral